Molecule: long non-coding RNA, 333 nt
Organism: Exaiptasia diaphana
Lineage: Eukaryota; Metazoa; Cnidaria; Anthozoa; Actiniaria; Aiptasiidae
Exons: 3
Source: RefSeq, a predicted model, not a curated record
AGUAGUAUUAUGUUUAAGUGAAAUAAAUUGAUUGAAAAUGUUUUUAAAUUUUCCGUAGGGUUGUCUGAAUCACCAUUUUCUGAAGGUCAUUACAAUAGUGCUUGUUGAGCCUUCUUUUCAGAGAUCGUUACAUACAAUGGAAAAUCCAAAUAACAUGGAUACACAGGGGAACUCUAAACAAACUGCCUGUGAGGAAGUAAAAACAGUUGGUYAGUGUACAAAGCUUCUGUGGCAUUGUUUGUCUGUCAACCCUGACAGUACAAAUAGUAUUUAAUUUUAUUUUAUAGGUCUAUGUACAUAUCAAUCCCAUUUAAUAGUUGACCUAACUUUGAA